RNAcentral lists this ribosomal RNA (995 nucleotides) under Staphylococcus aureus. Its description in RNAcentral is "partial 23S ribosomal RNA". It matches the Rfam family "Bacterial large subunit ribosomal RNA", at positions 444 to 1447 of the family's 2925-position model. Lineage: Bacteria; Bacillati; Bacillota; Bacilli; Caryophanales; Staphylococcaceae. The record is from RNAcentral.
CUGGGAGGACCAUCUCCUAAGGCUAAAUACUCUCUAGUGACCGAUAGUGAACCAGUACCGUGAGGGAAAGGUGAAAAGCACCCCGGAAGGGGAGUGAAAUAGAACCUGAAACCGUGUGCUUACAAGUAGUCAGAGCCCGUUAAUGGGUGAUGGCGUGCCUUUUGUAGAAUGAACCGGCGAGUUACGAUUUGAUGCAAGGUUAAGCAGUAAAUGUGGAGCCGUAGCGAAAGCGAGUCUGAAUAGGGCGUUUAGUAUUUGGUCGUAGACCCGAAACCAGGUGAUCUACCCUUGGUCAGGUUGAAGUUCAGGUAACACUGAAUGGAGGACCGAACCGACUUACGUUGAAAAGUGAGCGGAUGAACUGAGGGUAGCGGAGAAAUUCCAAUCGAACCUGGAGAUAGCUGGUUCUCUCCGAAAUAGCUUUAGGGCUAGCCUCAAGUGAUGAUUAUUGGAGGUAGAGCACUGUUUGGACGAGGGGCCCCUCUCGGGUUACCGAAUUCAGACAAACUCCGAAUGCCAAUUAAUUUAACUUGGGAGUCAGAACAUGGGUGAUAAGGUCCGUGUUCGAAAGGGAAACAGCCCAGACCACCAGCUAAGGUCCCAAAAUAUAUGUUAAGUGGAAAAGGAUGUGGCGUUGCCCAGACAACUAGGAUGUUGGCUUAGAAGCAGCCAUCAUUUAAAGAGUGCGUAAUAGCUCACUAGUCGAGUGACACUGCGCCGAAAAUGUACCGGGGCUAAACAUAUUACCGAAGCUGUGGAUUGUCCUUUGGACAAUGGUAGGAGAGCGUUCUAAGGGCGUUGAAGCAUGAUCGUAAGGACAUGUGGAGCGCUUAGAAGUGAGAAUGCCGGUGUGAGUAGCGAAAGACGGGUGAGAAUCCCGUCCACCGAUUGACUAAGGUUUCCAGAGGAAGGCUCGUCCGCUCUGGGUUAGUCGGGUCCUAAGCUGAGGCCGACAGGCGUAGGCGAUGGAUAACAGGUUGAUAUUCCUGUACCAC